CUCAGCUACUGUAAGAAAAUCACACAGACAGACUACAAACAGAGGCACAACUAUGUGGCCCAAAUGAUUCAUUGGAACUUAUGCCUCAAGUACCACCUCCCAGCAGCAAAGAACUGGUGGGAUCACAAACCUGCAAAAGUACUGGAAAAUGAGCACGCAAAGAUACUGUGGAACUUCCGAAUCCAGACUGACAAAGUUCUGGAACACAACACACCAGACAUCACAGUUGUGGAAAAGAAAAAGGUUUGGAUCAUGGAUGUUGCCAUCCCAGGUGACAGUCGCAUUGACGAAAAACAACAGGAAAAACUCAGCCGCUAUCAGGACCUCAAGAUUGAACUUCAAAGACUCUGGCAGAAACCAGUGCAGGUGGUCCCGGUGGUGAUGGGCACAUUGGGUGCCGUGCCAAGAGAGCUCAGCCGCAUUUGGAAACAACAGACAUUGACAAAAUUACGAUCUGCCAACUGCAAAAGGCCACCCUACUGGGAUCUGCACGCAUCAUCCGAAAAUACAUCACACAGUCCUAGACACUUGGGAAGUGUUCGACUUGUGAUUUUGUGAUACGAAAUCCAGCAUAUCUAUCUUGUUUGCUGUGUCAUAAUAAAAUUAUUAUUAUUAUUAUUAUUAUUAUUAUUAUUAUUAUUAUUAUUAUUAUUAUAGUUGGAUAGCCAGUUCUCAGGAGUGUUUUAGUUGUGUAUUCCUGCAUGGCAGGAGAUUGGGCUAGAUGGCCCUCGCGGCCUAUUCAAACUCAAUUAUUUCAUUUAAUUGGAAGCAAUUGUUUCUAAAUCUGAACCUAUAGGUACCCAUUAGUAUAUAUAAAUAGUAUUAAAGUUAGCCAUCUGUUAUCUAUUUAAUGUGUUAUACCUACUCUUUGUUGGCAAUGGAUUAGAGCUUGCUAUGCUUUUGUACUUGUUUUCCCCCCCAGAAUAUGGCCAAGGUCAUUGUGGACUGGAGGUGGAGGUACUUACUUUAGUGAAGAGGGAGGGUUUGUUUUCUUCCCUCCUACAUAAUAGCAGCUGGAAGGCUUCCAGGCACAGCUGGUUUCCCAACUACAUAUUGGCCAUGAAGGGACACCUACGUACUGUCCAGCUGUCAGCAUUCAGCCCGGAAAGAAAGGGCAGCCUUUGGCCUCUGACAAGACGAAAGGCUGUUUGUUCUUCCCUGGGUGGUCAAUGGUAGCCUUGCGAUGGGCAAUGGCUCCUGUGGCCAAGGGAUGGACCUGUGCCAAGCGUGGUCCAGCUGCUCUUGUACAGAAGGGGCAAAGGCCGUACCUCUUUCUUUCUACAAUGCCUCAAAGAGUACAGCAUAAUGAGGCAGACUAUGUACCCAAUAUUCAACUCCAAAAUGAAGAUGAUGGAAAACUUGAUUCGGAGCCAGAAAGUCACAUUUUAACAGAGCUACAAACAACAUUCAUAUAAAGUUUCAAUUAAGGUACUUUCAGGAAGGCUUAUCUGAUGCCAAAGGCUAGAUAUUCCUGCAAGGAGAGAGAUGGAUGUGAGCGAAUUCUAACUGUAUUUUUAGCACCUCUUCUUCCGACAAAAGCUCCACUGUUUCAUUUCUUCCUUCGCUGACUCUUAUUUGUUUUCUAAGUUCAUCUGGAAAAGACAUUUAGAACGCUUUUAUGAGCAGCAAAUAUUGCUGCCUGGAGUUCAAUCUUUGAAGGAACAAGCAGAAGAAGGUGAAAACCACACGUUUCAGCAUUGUUCAGGAAGAGUAAAAUCAGAGGUAUAAUGGGAGAGAAUGGGCAUUGUGCCUCCAAAAUAAAAUUGUGCUUCCAUCCU
Long non-coding RNA from Anolis carolinensis (green anole), 1778 nucleotides. RefSeq lists it as uncharacterized. The transcript is spliced from 2 exons. The record is from RefSeq and is a predicted model, not a curated record. NCBI's taxonomy places the organism in Eukaryota, Metazoa, Chordata, Lepidosauria, Squamata, Anolidae.